Molecule: ribosomal RNA, 805 nt
Filed under: uncultured Bacteroidota bacterium
Lineage: Bacteria; Pseudomonadati; Bacteroidota
Description: bacterial SSU rRNA
Rfam family: Bacterial small subunit ribosomal RNA
Source: RNAcentral
AGGAGAGUUUGAUCCUGGCUCAGGAUGAACGCUAGCUACAGGCUUAACACAUGCAAGUCGAGGGGCAGCAUGAUCGAAGCUUGCUUUGAUUGAUGGCGACCGGCGCACGGGUGAGUAACGCGUAUCCAACCUUCCCUAUAGUAGAGGAUAGCCCGGCGAAAGUCGGAUUAAUACUCUAUGUUUUCCAAUGCAGACAUCUAAGUUGGAACAAAGGUUCACCGCUAUAGGAUGGGGAUGCGUCUGAUUAGGUUGUUGGCGGGGUAACGGCCCACCAAGCCAACGAUCAGUAGGGGUUCUGAGAGGAAGGUCCCCCACAUUGGAACUGAGACACGGUCCAAACUCCUACGGGAGGCAGCAGUGAGGAAUAUUGGUCAAUGGGCGAGAGCCUGAACCAGCCAAGUAGCGUGCAGGAUGACGGCCCUAUGGGUUGUAAACUGCUUUUAUACGGGGAUAAAGUGAGGGACGUGUCCCUUAUUGUAGGUACCGUAUGAAUAAGGACCGGCUAAUUCCGUGCCAGCAGCCGCGGUAAUACGGAAGGUCCGGGCGUUAUCCGAAUUUAUUGGGUUUAAAGGGAGCGCAGGCCGACUGGUAAGCGUGACGUGAAAUGUAGCCGCUCAACGGCUGAACUGCGUCGCGAACUGUCAGUCUUGAGUGAGUUCGAUGUUGGCGGAAUUCGUGGUGUAGCGGUGAAAUGCUUAGAUAUCACGAAGAACUCCGAUUGCGAAGGCAGCCAACAAGGCCUUUACUGACGCUAAAGCUCGAAGGUGCGGGUAUCGAACAGGAUUAGAUACCCUGGUAGUCCCCU